GACGAACGCUGGCGGCGUGCUUAACACAUGCAAGUCGAACGGAAAGGCCCCUUUGGGGGUCCUCGAGUGGCGAACGGGUGAGUAACACGUGAGUAACCUGCCCUUGACUUCGGGAUAACUUCAGGAAACUGGGGCUAAUACCGGAUAGGAAUCCUUGCUGCAUGGUGGGGGUUGGAAAGCUUCGGCGGUUUUGGAUGGACUCGCGGCUUAUCAGCUUGGUGGUGGGGUAGUGGCUUACCAAGGCUUUGACGGGUAGCCGGCCUGAGAGGGCGACCGGCCACAGUGGGACUGAGAUACGGCCCAGACUCCUACGGGAGGCAGAAGUGGGGAAUAUUGCACAAGGGGCGGAAGCCUGAUGCAGCAACGCCGCGUGCGGGAUGACGGCCUUCGGGUUGGAAACCGCUUUCAGCAGGGGCGAAGCUUGUGGUGACGGUACCUGCAGAAGAAGCACCGGCUAACUACGUG
Molecule: ribosomal RNA, 465 nt
Filed under: uncultured bacterium
Lineage: Bacteria
Description: partial 16S ribosomal RNA
Rfam family: Bacterial small subunit ribosomal RNA
Source: RNAcentral